RNAcentral lists this ribosomal RNA (347 nucleotides) under uncultured bacterium. RNAcentral's name for it is "partial 16S ribosomal RNA". It matches the Rfam family "Bacterial small subunit ribosomal RNA", at positions 338 to 696 of the family's 1533-position model. The record is from RNAcentral.
CCUACGGGUGGCAGCAGUCGAGAAUCAUUCACAAUGGGGGAAACCCUGAUGGUGCGACGCCGCGUGGGGGAAUGAAGGUCUUCGGAUUGUAAACCCCUGUCAUGUGGGAGCAAAUUAAAAAGAUAGUACCACAAGAGGACGAGACGGCUAACUCUGUGCCAGCAGCCGCGGGAAGACAGAGGUCUCAAGCGUUGUUCGGAAUCACUGGGCGUAAAGCGUGCGGAGGCUGUUUCGUAAGUCGUGUGUGAAAGGCGCGGGCUCAACCCGCGGACGGCACAUGAUACUGCGAGACUAGAGUAAGGGAGGGGGAAGCGGAAUUCGCGGUGUAGCAGUGAAAUGCGUAGAUA